RNAcentral lists this ribosomal RNA (513 nucleotides) under uncultured bacterium. Its description in RNAcentral is "bacterial SSU rRNA". It matches the Rfam family "Bacterial small subunit ribosomal RNA", at positions 29 to 524 of the family's 1533-position model. The record is from RNAcentral.
AACGAACGUUGGCGGCGUGGCUUAGGCAUGCAAGUCGAACGAGAAAGUUUCCUUCGGGGAGCGAGUAUAGUGGCAAAAGGGUGAGUAAUGAUUAGUUAACCUACCCUAAAACUGGGAUAACUACCCGAAAGGGUUGCUAAUACCGGAUGGUCUAUGAGAGAUGCAUAUCUUUUAUAGUAAAGGCGCUCGCAAGGGUGUCGAUUAGGGAGGGGAUUAAUUCCUAUUAGCUAGUUGGUGAGGUAAUGGCUCUACCAAGGCAUUGAUGGGUAACCGAUCUGAGAGGAUGACCGGUCACACUGGGACUGAGACACUGCCCAGACUCCUACGGGAGGCUGCAGUCGCGAAUAUUCCGCAAUGGACGCAAGUCUGACGGAGCGACGCCGCGUGUGGGAUGAAGGCCUUAGGGUUGUAAACCACUGUCACACUUUAAGAAAUCAAUUAGGGUAACUCCUAGUUGUUGACAAAGGAGUGGAAGGAAGUCACGGCUAACUACGUGCCAGCAGCCGCGGUAAG